AACGAACGCUGGCGGCAUGCCUAACACAUGCAAGUCGAACGAGACCUUCGGGUCUAGUGGCGCACGGGUGCGUAACACGUGGGAAUUUGCCUCGGGGUAUGGAAUAACUCAGGGAAACUUGAGCUAAUACCAUAUAAUGUCUUCGGACCAAAGAUUUAUCGCCCUGAGAUAAGCCCGCGUAGGAUUAGCUAGUUGGUGGGGUAAAGGCUCACCAAGGCGACGAUCCUUAGCUGGUCUGAGAGGAUGAUCAGCCACACUGGGACUGAGACACGGCCCAGACUCCUACGGGAGGCAGCAGUGGGGAAUAUUGGGACAAUGGGGCGAAAGCCUGAUCCAGCAAUGCCGCGUGAGUGAUGAAGGCCUUAGGGUUGUAAAGCUCUUUUACUGGGGAUGAUAAUGACAGUACCCAGAGAUAAGCUCCGGCUAACUCCGUGCCAGCAGCCGCGGUAAUGUGACUACUG
Molecule: ribosomal RNA, 461 nt
Filed under: uncultured bacterium
Lineage: Bacteria
Description: bacterial SSU rRNA
Rfam family: Bacterial small subunit ribosomal RNA
Source: RNAcentral